CAGAGUGAACGCUGGCGGUAGGCCUAACACAUGCAAGUCGAACGGCAGCACAGUAAGAGCUUGCUCUUAUGGGUGGCGAGUGGCGGACGGGUGAGGAAUACAUCGGAAUCUACCUUUUCGUGGGGGAUAACGUAGGGAAACUUACGCUAAUACCGCAUACGACCUUCGGGUGAAAGCAGGGGACCUUCGGGCCUUGCGCGGAUAGAUGAGCCGAUGUCGGAUUAGCUAGUAGGCGGGGUAAAGGCCCACCAAGGCGACGAUCCGUAGCUGGUCUGAGAGGAUGAUCAGCCACACUGGAACUGAGACACGGUCCAGACUCCUACGGGAGGCAGCAGUGGGGAAUAUUGGACAAUGGGCGCAAGCCUGAUCCAGCCAUACCGCGUGGGUGAAGAAGGCCUUCGGGUU
This 405-nucleotide ribosomal RNA is filed under the name Stenotrophomonas rhizophila. RNAcentral's name for it is "bacterial SSU rRNA". It matches the Rfam family "Bacterial small subunit ribosomal RNA", at positions 25 to 424 of the family's 1533-position model. Lineage: Bacteria; Pseudomonadati; Pseudomonadota; Gammaproteobacteria; Lysobacterales; Lysobacteraceae. The record is from RNAcentral.